RNAcentral lists this ribosomal RNA (650 nucleotides) under Nocardioides marinus. RNAcentral's name for it is "bacterial SSU rRNA". It matches the Rfam family "Bacterial small subunit ribosomal RNA", at positions 92 to 755 of the family's 1533-position model. Lineage: Bacteria; Bacillati; Actinomycetota; Actinomycetes; Propionibacteriales; Nocardioidaceae. The record is from RNAcentral.
CGAGCGGCGAACGGGUGAGUAACACGUGAGUAAUCUGCCUCUGGCUUCGGGAUAGCCACCGGAAACGGUGAUUAAUACCGGAUAUGACAUCUUCACGCAUGUGAUGGGUGUGGAAAGUUUUUUCGGCCAGGGAUGUGCUCGCGGCCUAUCAGCUUGUUGGUGGGGUAAUGGCCUACCAAGGCUUCGACGGGUAGCCGGCCUGAGAGGGUGACCGGCCACACUGGGACUGAGACACGGCCCAGACUCCUACGGGAGGCAGCAGUGGGGAAUAUUGGACAAUGGGCGGAAGCCUGAUCCAGCAACGCCGCGUGAGGGAUGACGGCCUUCGGGUUGUAAACCUCUUUCAGCACAGACGAAGCGCAAGUGACGGUAUGUGCAGAAGAAGGACCGGCCAACUACGUGCCAGCAGCCGCGGUAAUACGUAGGGUCCGAGCGUUGUCCGGAAUUAUUGGGCGUAAAGGGCUCGUAGGCGGUUUGUCGCGUCGGGAGUGAAAACACCGGGCUUAACUCGGUGCUUGCUUUCGAUACGGGCAGACUAGAGGCAUUCAGGGGAGAACGGAAUUCCUGGUGUAGCGGUGAAAUGCGCAGAUAUCAGGAGGAACACCGGUGGCGAAGGCGGUUCUCUGGGAAUGUCCUGACGCUGAGGAGCG